UUCCAUGAACAUGAGCAUAAGAGUUUUCGUCUUUUUAUCUUUCGACUUUCACUGUUCAAACCCUUUCUUUUCUUCAGGUGUAGAUUUAUCAGUAAGGGUUGGAGCAGUGGUUUCGAUUAUAUCAUCAAUGUUGUCAUGAAUAAGAGCAUAUCCUAUUUUUCUAUGCCACAUAUCAUAAUUACUGCCAUUAAAUUUGUCAAUUUUACCUAGUUCUGAUAGAACGAGUUUACUAGCUAUUCGGUAAAGAACUAAAACUAAAUUUAAUUUUAAAUAUUUGUAUAAGGUUGAUAUUUUAACAAUAAUACUAAAUAAUAAUAAAGUUAGAUAAAAAUAAAUAAAUAAAUGAACCUGAUUGUUCCGACUUGAUGAAAGAGGCUCCAAUUUGAGCGAGAUUGUCGCUUAGCGGUGUUGACCGAAGAAUCUCUUGUCGAAGUUUUGGCGUCGUUUCUGACUGGAUUUGAAGAUAAUCUGCUGCUGUUGUGGAGUUACACUGAAUAGAAAUUGCGAAGAAUUGUUCGAACAACCCAAAAUGAUUGAAAACAGAAUAUUGAAUUGUAAAGGACUAAAGUGAUCUUUUUUAAGGAUCUGCUGGUUUUGAGAACGUGGAAUAUAGGAAAAUUGGGCUUUGUAAAGAUUUGUUAAGUGAACAUGGGCCUGACUAUGAUUUAACAAAUAAAAAUGAAUGGGCUUUGAAAAUAAAAUGGUUGGGUUAUUGUGAUUUGGGCUUGGCUUUGCUUCAACAAAAAAAUAGGUGGGCUAUGGUGAAUUGCAUGUGGGCAGAGUAAAGGCUGGCUAAAAAAUGGAGAUCUAGGGCUUUGCUCCUGAGAUCGCUACUUGAUGUAGCCAGGGAACGACUGAUGAGAUACGAUCAAAGAGGAAGACCGAAAAUUGCAAGGGGGAGGCGGAUCUAUUUGUCUUCCUCGAUCCAAAUCAGAGAGCUCGCCGAGAUGAAGACUUCGGCUUCGAGGUCAAUCGCCGUCGCCGUCGCAAUCGAGACUAGGUCGAGCGGAGAUCAGAUCCCUGCCGAGUUCGUCGUUGACGUCGCCGUUGGCUCUGAUACCAGUAUUUGCUCUCAGAGAAGAAGGAAGAACAGAUUUUGAGGGGGGUUCCGCUAAUGGAUCCGCCCCAAUGAGAGAUUUUCUCUCAACAACCCUUCCACGAUCCACAAUUCUCUCUACCGAGAAUCGUUGAUUUGGUCACCAUGACCAAGUCAAGCUAACAGUUUGAGCAGAUAAAGUCAAAGCCUCCUGUUCUGCCAUUUAGGUUCUUACAGGUCAUCACUGGGGACUUGGGAGCAAAAUCAGGUGAAGGCGAGGCUCACGGUGAGCCUAACCUAGGUAAUUGGUGGAUAAGGCUUCAUAAUGGUGGAGCACAACUAGAUGCAUACAUACAUUAACGGAUACAUGUAUUGUCACGCAUGCAGGCCUGCAUAUCACGCACACACGCAUGCAUUCAUACAAAUGCACGCAUGCAUACCUACAUUAUACAUUGUCAUGCAUGCUUCUAGUAUACACAUGCAUUCAUACUCAUGCUUGUAUGCAUAAGUACAUACAAUCAUAGAAAAGGAUGUAGCAGUGUCGAGUGAUUUCUUAAAUUAGUGAAAGUUUGGCUAGCGGCGGGGUCAUGAGAAAGGUUGCAGCAAUGAAUGGACUAGUAGCUUGAUCCAAUAACUUUUUGGUCUUUUGAAGUUAAAAGACUUCAUUCUGUUUUCUAUGUUCCUGUUCGAAUUUGAUAUGUUAUAUUCAUAUUCUUCCUGGAUUCCUCAGCAAUUUAGCUUCUAGCAAAUUGUAGUAAUAUUCUUAUUAAAUCAUUGUGCCCUUAUUCCAACUUCUUGAGUAUAAAUCUAUAUUACAAGUAGCGGGCCUAACAUGAAUAGGACAACAAUUGUAGCAUGGCAGUGUUCUCAACAGUCUUAACAUGUUUAAAGGAACCUGUGAAGUUGCUAAGGAGAUUUUAAGUCUUACCUCUAGAUGAGUAGGAGGCUUUUCUAAAAUUGGCUAAAACUUUGUUGGGCUCUGAUGAUCAGUGAUCACGUAAGCAUAGGAUAAGUCACGCAACAUUUCUUACAUGUUGGCCUAAACACCAUACAGUUCUUAUUCAUUGUGAUGCAAUACUUAUAUGAGGUGAAAAACAUAAUUGUAAAUUUCAGUUUUCAUGUAGAAGGGCAAUGAACCCUUAUGCAUGUUAUUGUGAAUUGUGAAGAAGGUACUCUUUACCUUUUAUGUCGUAAUUUAAUUUAGCACCUCUGUAGAAUGUGUAGGAGGUCCCUCACAAUUAACUUUGUUUCCGUUUAUGUGCAAUAUAUUAAUUAUUAAUGUCAUGAUUACUCUAUUUUAUUAGGCUGAUGUUUUUGUUCCGUUCUUUAAAAAAAACUUUAGUGGUAGAUGUGCUCAGUUUGGAUCAUGACAUAUCUUAUACGCAUACUGGUGUUGAUCUGUAGGCAACAUAAGCAGGAGCAAUGUUUUCAAAGGACUCACAGGCACUUAAUACCUGUGCAGUUCUUUUGACAAAAUUCUGUCAUAGCAGGACUGAUAAAGUUACUCAGGGUGCUUAGGUUCAAUGGGAAAUUCAACUACUUGUCUUUGAAAUAUGGAAGGUAAGCCUGUGUGUAUCGUGGAGGUUUGACAUCCUUGUAAUAAAUUAUUCUCUAUAAGAAUGCUCUGAUAUCCUAGUGAGUAUAUUGUGUUAUUUGGUUAGCUUUCUUGUUAAAUCAAGUUACGCUUAUCUAUUAA
Long non-coding RNA from Asparagus officinalis (garden asparagus), 2732 nucleotides. RefSeq lists it as uncharacterized. The record is from RefSeq and is a predicted model, not a curated record. Lineage: Eukaryota; Viridiplantae; Streptophyta; Magnoliopsida; Asparagales; Asparagaceae. The transcript has 3 exons.